AUGUUCCAUUAGCAUAUACUUUAAAAUUAAAACCAUACAGAGAAGAUUAUCAUGGCUCCACAAAAAUGACAUGAAAAUUCUCGAGCAAGGUUACCUUUAU
RNAcentral lists this small nuclear RNA (100 nucleotides) under Notamacropus eugenii (tammar wallaby). Lineage: Eukaryota; Metazoa; Chordata; Mammalia; Diprotodontia; Macropodidae. The record is from RNAcentral.